This 276-nucleotide ribosomal RNA is filed under the name Triticum aestivum (bread wheat). RNAcentral describes it as "partial small subunit ribosomal RNA". The record is from RNAcentral. Lineage: Eukaryota; Viridiplantae; Streptophyta; Magnoliopsida; Poales; Poaceae.
AUGAAGCUUCAGGUAGCCACGGUAGCCAUCUUCCUCCUGGUGACCGUGGCCACGUCGGCCCGGGCUGUGACGUUCGACGCGUCGAACAUGGCGUCGGACACCACCGGCGGCCAGUGCUUCGACCAGGCCGCCGGCCUCGCGUACUCAAAGCAGGUCCUCUCCGACGCCUCAACCUUCAUCUGGAGCACCUUCAACCAGGGCGCCGUGGCCGACCGCAAGCCCGUGGACGCCGUCACCCUCGUCGUGGAGGAGUUCGACGGCCUCGCCUACGUGUAG